Molecule: long non-coding RNA, 3553 nt
Filed under: Canis lupus familiaris (dog)
Lineage: Eukaryota; Metazoa; Chordata; Mammalia; Carnivora; Canidae
Description: lncRNA (ENSCAFG00845017364.1)
Source: RNAcentral
UUUUUUUUUUUAAUACUGCAUUGUACCUCAGGACUUGAAUAUACAUGAAGAUAUAUUUAUUCAUUCAAUCAGCAAAUACUAGAUAUUUACACUGUAUUAGGCCAUAAGAAUAUAGUGAACCUAGUGUUGGUCAGUAUUGGACCCAGUCCUCAUAGAGUUUGUUUUUAAUCGAAUCCCUAUUAAUAGACAUUGAAGUUAUUUCUGAUUUAUCAUAAACGUGUUUUAAAAUUUCAGUUCGGUCAUGACGGAUCAUCUGCUAUUUGCCCAAAAUUUUCCUAGGAGUUUUCAAAGAAAAUAAUGAGUAAUGAGGCAGUAGUCUUGGUUGGACGAGUCACUGAACUCUGACUACUGAGCUCUAGUCCCAGGCAGGUGUUGCAGGUUAACUCUAGGUUAAUGUGGAGAACCUGAGAUUAUCCUUCAUCCUCCUAGGCCAGUGGUCUUCAAACUUCAGCUUACAUCAGGACCAUGUGAAUGGUUUGUUAAACCACAGAUUUCUGGGUCCCACUUUCGAUUUAGUAGGUCUGGGAUGGGGCCCAAUAAUUUGCAUCUUUAACAAGUUCCCAGGUGAGGCUAAUGCUGCUGGUCCCAGGAACAUAGCUUGCGAACAGCCCCCUGCUAUUUCUGGGAGUUUCUGACUCUGAUAUAGUUUGGACUCUCCUUCAUCAGCAGUUAGAAUUCAGAGAUCUAGAAGUAGCUAUCUUUACAGUUACUAGAGAAGUUACUGAUGCAGAAAAAACUUUCAUGCACCUAGAAGCUCCUGGUAGGAUCCCCUGAUGAUUCCAGUUCCUCGCAUUUUAUUUCUAUUCCUCUUGAGUUACUACCUUCAUGCAGGCUCUUCACUGGGUUGCACUGGUUGGUGGGAGAACUUAUCCUUUGGCACUCUCAACACCACUGGUCAGCAGGGAGGGGCUUCACACUUGAAGAGUUCUUCUGAAACAGUGUGUCUUGAUAUCAAGCUCCAGAGUUUACUCAUCCGGGUUAGAGAAGAUUGGGUUUCUAGCUGCAGGAGCCUUCUGAGAGAAGCAGGCCAUCCUCAUGAGAUUUCAGAAGAGCUGGGAAGGGACAGGCUUACCCUGGAUUUGGGCGGGGCCGGGGGGGCUGGCGGGCGGUGGUGUUGGAGGAGAUCUUGAGAAAAUGAGCUACCUCUGGGAGUUUCAAGGGUCCAGGUCCCACGGGCAGAGGAGCCAGAGUUCUUAGGGUUGCUGGUGAGUAUAAAGCUAACUGCAGAGAAGCCCUCUUGGUUUUUUUCUCCUUAGUUUUGUGGACAGGUUUAAAUAAGGGAUCUGUAUGUAGUCCAACUCUCUCAUAGCAGAGUUGAACGUAGUUUUACCGUUCACUAGCUCCAUCACUAAGGUUCUUAGGAAAUUUUCUCAUCUGUAAAAUGUAGACAAUACCUCUGUCCUCAGGGUUACUGUGGGGAUUCCUACAGUAACAUGUAAAGGACCUCAUUACUGUGCUACUUAACCCACAGUAGGCCCCUCCUUAUCUGAUGGGAGCAUGGAUCAGUAGUGAGGCUAUGGUUACCAUGCUGCAGGACCUUUGGACACAUCACAAAGUAUGCCUGGUUCUUUCUGUACUUAGGAAAGAACAAUGCCUGGCAUUGCUCCCUCUGGAAAAUGAAGCUAGCUAACUUUGGGGGCCUGCUAUCAAGCACUCACAAGCAUAACAUGGAACCUAACAGCUGAGAGGGUAACAGUCCUACUGCACUUUUAGAGACUUCGCAGGAUCUAGGGUGACUAUUCACAGAUGGGACUUUUAGAACUAGAACUAGGGCUAAUUCAUUUCACUACCUUAGUAGGUUAAGUGGCUGUCUCUGGCUCACAGACAAUUGUAAUGUUUGGAGUUCCUAACUCUGAGCUGGCCUUGUUUUCAGCUAUUCCACACUUUCUGGAUCUUGACCCUGUUGCUCUACCCAUAAAGCACUUGCUUUAUUUCCCUUUUUCAAUCAGUUUGCAAACAAAAUGGAAAGAAGUUGAUGAACACAGUUUUGUGGCUCCAAGUUCUUGCUUAGAGAAGGGUUUUGGAAGAGUAAGAAUUUAAGGUCAAUUUGAAACAGUGUGAGUAUAGGAUGGCAUGACUAAAGCAUCAGAGCACAUCUUUCUUCAUCAUUCCCAGAUACUCUAAAAGGUUAAUAAUAUUUAUAGGUUCACUACAAACAUUAUUGCAACAGUCUGAUUUAUAGGCAAGUUAAUACUUCUGUUUAUAUUCUAAUUUUCUGUUUUAGUAGUCAGGAAUCUUUUCUUAUUGUCUUAGGUAUAUCUCAGCAGUGAAAAUAAUUUUCUCCUAUGUCAGAAACUUAAAGAAGAAAAUCAGAAGCCUACUUUUAAAAGUCUGUAACAUGUACACUUUAGAUACAACAUGGAGUAUUGUAUCCAUACAAAUAAAGGAAGAUAAACCUUCCUUAUAAAGGAAGGUUUCUUUCUUUUUUUUUUUAAGCAAGCAUUUUUAAUUUUUGUAGCAAGAGUGUGCUCCAGGAGGGGAAGCAAGAAGGAGAAUAUUUUUAAAAAGAUUUUAUUUGUUUUGAGAGAGAGUGCCAGUGGGGGGAGGGGCAGGAGGCGAGGGAGAGAGAGAAUCCCAAGCAGACUCCCAACUGAGCACAGAGCCCAACACAGGGCUUGUUCUCAUGACCGUGAGGUCAUGACCUGAGCCGAAAUCAAGAGUUGUAUGCUUAACUAACUGAGCUUUUAAUUUUUCUUUAAAAGCAAAAACGCCUUUAAAAAACACAAAAACAUGGGGCUCCUGAGUGGCUCAGUUGGUUAAGUGUCUGCCUUCAGUGCAGGUCAUGAUCCCAGGGACCUAGGACCACAGGGAGCCUCUGCUUCUUCCUCUGCCUACUACUCCCUCUGCUUGUGCUUGCUCUGUCAAAUAAAUAAAAUCUUUUUUAAAAAGGCACACCAAAAACUCAACUAGCUGAAGAAAAGGUAAAUAAUUUCAGAAUGGUAUGUACAGAAUGCACUCCUAUCCCUACACCCUUUUACUGUCAGAGUUCCCAUGGUUUUGCUGGGAGAAUCAAAACACAUUAUGGAUGUGAAUCUCCAUCACAGGACCUUGACUCUCCACUUUUCUGUCCCCCAUACUUAGUAAAAGGGAAGAUGGGUAGCAGUUGUUCUGUAGUAUUCCAAUUGCAAGACAGGCAUUAUCUCAUUGAAACAAUGUUAAAAGAGGUGCAUGGGCUUCACUUAACGCGAAUUAGAUAAAUUACUGAGUGUUGGCCUGAAUAGCAAAGUCAUUUUAAGAUUAUUUCUAUGAGGAUCAUAUUUGUAGGUCCAAAAAUUGGUUGACCAUCAACAAACAUUUGAAAUAACAAUCUGUCAUAGGUUGGGAAAUGGUUGGAUACUUUUAAAAAUUUGAUUUAUAUGAAUUCUUUCAAGUGCGCAUUAAGCUACAACUAUUCGGAGUUCUUGAACAUCUGUUGUAUUAAUAAGUGAAACACCUAUAUUAAUAUAUCACUUAAAGCUCAAACAUAACUUGGGGGUUCAUUAUACUGUUUGUUCUACUUAAGUAUGUUUGAAAUUUUUUAUACUAAAAAGACUAAAAAAAAAAAAACAAAAAA